UGGAAGGAUCCGCUGAAGGUCAGCG
Molecule: unclassified non-coding RNA, 25 nt
Filed under: Mus musculus (house mouse)
Lineage: Eukaryota; Metazoa; Chordata; Mammalia; Rodentia; Muridae
Description: oocyte_clustered_small_RNA13565
Source: RNAcentral